UACAGAGGGUGCGAGCGUUAAUCGGAAUUACUGGGCGUAAAGCGUGCGCAGGCGGUUCGUUGUGUCGGCGGUGAAAGCCCCGGGCUCAACCUGGGAAUGGCCGUUGAAACUGGCGAACUGGAGUGUGGCAGAGGGGGGUGGAAUUCCGCGUGUAGCAGUGAAAUGCGUAGAGAUGCGGAGGAACACCGAUGGCGAAGGCAGCCCCCUGGGCUAACACUGACGCUCAGGCACGAAAGCGUGGGGAGCAAACAGG
This 253-nucleotide ribosomal RNA is filed under the name uncultured bacterium. RNAcentral describes it as "partial 16S ribosomal RNA". It matches the Rfam family "Bacterial small subunit ribosomal RNA", at positions 524 to 776 of the family's 1533-position model. The record is from RNAcentral.